Molecule: ribosomal RNA, 615 nt
Filed under: uncultured Tulasnella
Lineage: Eukaryota; Fungi; Basidiomycota; Agaricomycetes; Cantharellales; Tulasnellaceae
Description: eukaryotic LSU rRNA
Rfam family: Eukaryotic large subunit ribosomal RNA (bases 496-615)
Source: RNAcentral
GAGGGUGAAAGCCCAUGACCCAUUGCAAUGCCGUGUUCUGCACGUUAAACAUAGUCGUGUUGGCUUCGGACACACGUUAAAGACGCGAAAAAGCCCUGUUUACGAAUCUAAUGUGAAAGAACUUUACAACCAAUGACGUUGGAUCCCUUGGCAUGCCUGAUCGAUGAAGACCGUUGCCAACUGCGAUAAGUGGUGUGAUGCGCAAGUCUAAAACUUAUAAGUGAACCAUCGAAUUGUUGAACGCACUGCACCGAGCUCUACCCGAGCACGGUAUGUCCCAUUGAGCGCUAUUAAUGUCUUCGAGAGGGCUGAUCUUUGGUUGGCACCCGGGUUCGGAGUCCACAGUGCCCUUGCACUGCGUUCUCUCAGAUGGAUUUGAAUGGUGUCUGGUUGCACUGGAACCUCUAUGUCAUGAGAAUGCAUGGAGUGCCCGUUAAGCGCCUGAUGCCUGGGACAGCACAGAUGAUGGCUGUCCAAGCAUGCUUAAUUGAGAAUGUAGCCUCACUGGGACAAGACAACCCGCUAGACUUAAGCAUAUUAAUCAGCGGAGGAAAAGAAACUAACUAGGAUUCCCUCAGUAACUGCGAGUGAAGCGGGAUGAGCUCAAUGUGUGAA